RNAcentral lists this long non-coding RNA (632 nucleotides) under Carica papaya (papaya). RNAcentral describes it as "long non-coding RNA (CPAP_LNC008574)". The record is from RNAcentral. Lineage: Eukaryota; Viridiplantae; Streptophyta; Magnoliopsida; Brassicales; Caricaceae.
GAAGAGGCAUAUGUUCCAUAUUUAGAUCGAUCGUUGAUUUUUACAUAUUAGGAGGAUAGCCUUCCAAUUUUGGUUCUCAUGGCCUGUAUCAAAUCACUUUCCCAUUAUACUUGAAUUCUAACGUAUUAGGUGGAGUUAUAGCUUGAAUCUUAAGGAAAAAGUAUGUAAUAAGGAGGUGUUUGGAAAUAUUGGAAUGGGAAAGCAAAGAUUUUAAAGAAAUGAAAGAGUUGGACAGAUUGGUGACAAAGUGCAAUAUUUCUAAGAGUAGACAAGUAAAUUAAUAAGGUCAAAAAAUGAGUUCGAUGAAACAAUUAUGGAGAAGAGAUAUUGAUGAUAAAAGGUGAGCAUUGAAUGGGUUAAGGGGAUGCCAAUAUGAGAUUAUAUCAUAGGGUUGUUUCCAUGGAAAAGCUCCAAUGAAAUAAACAUGUUGGUUUUACGAUUACAUAUUAAUGUCAUCCACAUAGUCCUUUUGUCAUUGUGUCAUCUGAUGUCACUUCUUACAAGCAUUUCUUUGUAUCUAAGACUUUAUGCUUAGGGGACAAGAAUUUUGCAACUUAAACUUCAGGUUUUAGGUUAUCAUAUGAAUAUUGAUCACAUCGAACGUCGGUUUUCCCAUCUCAAAUAAUACCCCG